GAUUGUGAGAGAAUCCAAGUAUCCAACAAGCCAUAAGGUCAGCUGCUGCCCUUGGGAAUGACGACGGUGACUGUCAGUGUUAGCUGCAGACUCAGUCUCCGGCCAUGGAGAGAGAAGGGAGGCACAGAGGGCCAUGGAAUUUGCCCAAGAAUGGUGAGCGCAGGAGGAGACCCUGCCCGUUUACCUGUUAUAGCAUGCAAAGCAACACAGGGAGAGCCAGUGGAAUAUAUGCCGCCUCCUCUCCAUCAGCCAUGAUUGGGUGCUGACCUCAGCUGGGCCAUGGCAAUGACACACAGUAUCUUCACAGCCCAUUUGGUCUGGUACUUGUUGGCUUUGACAUCCACAAUACUUGAUAAGAGUUUUUGUCCUUAAA
Ictidomys tridecemlineatus (thirteen-lined ground squirrel) is the source of this 373-nucleotide non-coding RNA. NCBI's taxonomy places the organism in Eukaryota, Metazoa, Chordata, Mammalia, Rodentia, Sciuridae. The record is from RefSeq and is a predicted model, not a curated record.